GUCCAGUUACUGUUAACUGAAUACAUAGGUUAACAGAGCAAACCGGGGGAACUGAAACAUCUAAGUACCCCGAGGAGAAGAAAUCAACCGAGAUUCCGGUAGUAGCGGCGAGCGAACCUGGAUUAGCCCUUAAGCACUCGUUGAAGUAGGUGAACAAGCUGGAAAGCUUGGCGAUACAGGGUGAUAGCCCCGUAACCGACGCUUCAUCGAGCGUGAAAUCGAGUAGGGCGGGACACGUGAUAUCCUGUCUGAAUAUGGGGGGACCAUCCUCCAAGGCUAAAUACUCCUGACUGACCGAUAGUGAACCAGUACCGUGAGGGAAAGGCGAAAAGAACCCCUGUGAGGGGAGUGAAAUAGAACCUGAAACCGUGUACGUACAAGCAGUAGGAGCACCUUCGUGGUGUGACUGCGUACCUUUUGUAUAAUGGGUCAGCGACUUAUAUUCAGUGGCAAGGUUAACCGUAUAGGGGAGCCGUAGCGAAAGCGAGUCUUAACUGGGCGCUCAGUCUCUGGAUAUAGACCCGAAACCGGGUGAUCUAGCCAUGGGCAGGUUGAAGGUUGAGUAACAUCAACUGGAGGACCGAACCGACUAAUGUUGAAAAAUUAGCGGAUGACUUGUGGCUAGGGGUGAAAGGCCAAUCAAACUCGGAGAUAGCUGGUUCUCCCCGAAAGCUAUUUAGGUAGCGCCUCGGACGAAUACUACUGGGGGUAGAGCACUGUUAAGGCUAGGGGGUCAUCCCGACUUACCAACCCUUUGCAAACUCCGAAUACCAGUAAGUACUAUCCGGGAGACACACGGCGGGUGCUAACGUCCGUCGUGGAGAGGGAAACAACCCAGACCGCCAGCUAAGGUCCCAAAGUAUUGCUAAGUGGGAAACGAUGUGGGAAGGCUCAGACAGCUAGGAUGUUGGCUUAGAAGCAGCCAUCAUUUAAAGAAAGCGUAAUAGCUCACUAGUCGAGUCGGCCUGCGCGGAAGAUGUAACGGGGCUAAGCAAUACACCGAAGCUGCGGCAAUGCCUUUUAGGUAUUGGGUAGGGGAGCGUUCUGUAAGCCGUUGAAGGUGGUCUGUAAGGGCUGCUGGAGGUAUCAGAAGUGCGAAUGCUGACAUGAGUAACGACAAAGGGGGUGAAAAACCUCCUCGCCGGAAGACCAAGGGUUCCUGUCCAACGUUAAUCGGGGCAGGGUGAGUCGACCCCUAAGGUGAGGCCGAAAGGCGUAAUCGAUGGGAAACGGGUUAAUAUUCCCGUACUUCUGACUAUUGCGAUGGGGGGACGGAGAAGGCUAGGUGGGCCAGGCGACGGUUGUCCUGGUUCAAGUGCGUAGGCUUAAGAGUUAGGUAAAUCCGGCUCUUUCUAAGGCUGAGACACGACGUCGAGCUGCUACGGCAGUGAAGUCAUUGAUGCCAUGCUUCCAGGAAAAGCCUCUAAGCUUCAGAUAGUCAGGAAUCGUACCCCAAACCGACACAGGUGGUCGGGUAGAGAAUACCAAGGCGCUUGAGAGAACUCGGGUGAAGGAACUAGGCAAAAUGGUACCGUAACUUCGGGAGAAGGUACGCUCUUGAUGGUGAAGUCCCUUGCGGAUGGAGCUGACGAGAGUCGCAGAUACCAGGUGGCUGCAACUGUUUAUUAAAAACACAGCACUGUGCAAAAUCGCAAGAUGACGUAUACGGUGUGACGCCUGCCCGGUGCCGGAAGGUUAAUUGAUGGGGUUAGCGCAAGCGAAGCUCUUGAUCGAAGCCCCGGUAAACGGCGGCCGUAACUAUAACGGUCCUAAGGUAGCGAAAUUCCUUGUCGGGUAAGUUCCGACCUGCACGAAUGGCGUAAUGAUGGCCACGCUGUCUCCACCCGAGACUCAGUGAAAUUGAAAUCGCUGUGAAGAUGCAGUGUACCCGCGGCUAGACGGAAAGACCCCGUGAACCUUUACUACAGCUUGGCACUGAACAUUGAACCUACAUGUGUAGGAUAGGUGGGAGGCUAUGAAGACGUGACGCUAGUUGCGUUGGAGCCGUCCUUGAAAUACCACCCUUGUAUGUUUGAUGUUCUAACUUAGACCCGUUAUCCGGGUUGAGGACAGUGCCUGGUGGGUAGUUUGACUGGGGCGGUCUCCUCCCAAAGAGUAACGGAGGAGCACGAAGGUGGGCUAAUCACGGUUGGACAUCGUGAGGUUAGUGCAAUGGCAUAAGCCCGCUUAACUGCGAGAAUGACGGUUCGAGCAGGUGCGAAAGCAGGUCAUAGUGAUCCGGUGGUUCUGUAUGGAAGGGCCAUCGCUCAACGGAUAAAAGGUACUCCGGGGAUAACAGGCUGAUACCGCCCAAGAGUUCAUAUCGACGGCGGUGUUUGGCACCUCGAUGUCGGCUCAUCACAUCCUGGGGCUGAAGUCGGUCCCAAGGGUAUGGCUGUUCGCCAUUUAAAGUGGUACGCGAGCUGGGUUUAGAACGUCGUGAGACAGUUCGGUCCCUAUCUGCCGUGGGCGUUGGAAGAUUGAAGGGGGCUGCUCCUAGUACGAGAGGACCGGAGUGGACGAACCUCUGGUGUUCGGGUUGUGUCGCCAGACGCAUUGCCCGGUAGCUAAGUUCGGAAUUGAUAAGCGCUGAAAGCAUCUAAGCGCGAAGCGAGCCCUGAGAUGAGUCUUCCC
Molecule: ribosomal RNA, 2634 nt
Filed under: Vibrio cholerae
Lineage: Bacteria; Pseudomonadati; Pseudomonadota; Gammaproteobacteria; Vibrionales; Vibrionaceae
Description: partial 23S ribosomal RNA
Rfam family: Bacterial large subunit ribosomal RNA
Source: RNAcentral